This 274-nucleotide ribosomal RNA is filed under the name uncultured bacterium. Its description in RNAcentral is "partial 16S ribosomal RNA". It matches the Rfam family "Bacterial small subunit ribosomal RNA", at positions 523 to 796 of the family's 1533-position model. The record is from RNAcentral.
AUACGGAGGGUGCAAGCGUUAAUCGGAAUUACUGGGCGUAAAGCGUACGUAGGCGGUUAUUUAAGUCAGAUGUGAAAGCCCCGGGCUUAACUUGGGAACUGCAUUUGAAACUGGGUAACUAGAGUUUAGUAGAGGGGAGUGGAAUUUCAGGUGUAGCGGUGAAAUGCGUAGAGAUCUGAAGGAACGCCAGUGGCGAAGGCGACUCCCUGGACUAAAACUGACGCUGAGGUACGAAAGCGUGGGUAGCAAACAGGAUUAGAAACCCUAGUAGUCC